UGAGUAAGUCCAUAUCCAUCGAUGAUAAGCCUCAGUUGAUGUUGCCAUUGAACAAAAGUAUCAUCUUUAAGCUUCCCUGUAUCAUGGCGAGGGAAAGAUUGAACAACUCGGUGGACCCUUUCUCUAUCUGGAAAACAUAGUGACGAGGAUUUGUGAACAGGAGCAGAAUUUCUUGGAGAAAUUGCUUCAUUGGCAGACACAUCAUGCAAAGUUACAGCCAUCAAGCACAACAAAAAGCAACCUAGAAAAGAGCUCUUGAUACCAUGAAAGUAACUCACAUACAAAUGCAAGAAUACACACUUUGUUUACUCAUGAAUGAAUCAGAAAUUUUAGCUUGAAUAUUAUUGAGAUAGAAGAGAGUAUAUAUACACAUAUAGAAUGAGAGAAACUAUUAUUUAACCAACUAAUAGAAUCUUUAACCAACCAACUAGUUCUAUUUCAAACGACUCUAGAAUAGCCAAACCUCCCUACACUUCAUUCUCAAUCUUUUAUUUAGCAUUUCAUUUCAUUCUCUCUUUAAAGUGAGCUAUAAUCCCUCCUUAAUAUUUAGCACUGUUUCUGGAUAAAACUUACGCAAUUCAAACUUGUAAUGACCAACUUUCUCACCUUUACUCUCUUAGGACCUUAGUUAUGAUUGCUUUAGCUUUCCUUAAAUUUUUAACAACAUCAAGUUUACAUAAAUUUAAGAAUAGCUUUCAUAAAAAAUUAAGCGCUAUGCAAACUUCUUACCUUUUUCGCCUUGAUCGAAUGAUAGUAACUUUGUUGUAAAUUUUCUCUUCUUUCUCCACCGAAUGAUAGCAAAUUUGGCUAAUUCUUUUGCUCCAUUCAAUUGUCCACUAAGAAAAC
RNAcentral lists this long non-coding RNA (846 nucleotides) under Gossypium raimondii (Peruvian cotton). RNAcentral describes it as "long non-coding RNA (GRAI_LNC000112)". The record is from RNAcentral. Lineage: Eukaryota; Viridiplantae; Streptophyta; Magnoliopsida; Malvales; Malvaceae.